ACACAUGCAAGUCGAGGGGCAGCGCGGGAUAGCAAUAUCCUGGCGGCGACCGGCGGAAGGGUGCGUAACGCGUGAGCGACAUGCCCGUUGCCCGGGGACAACCGGUGGAAACGCCGACUAAUCCCCGAUGGGAUAUUGUGCCGCAUGGCACGAUAUUGAAAGUUACGGCGGCGACGGAUUGGCUCGCGUCCGAUUAGCUGGUUGGCGGGGUAACGGCCCACCAAGGCUGCGAUCGGUAGGGGUUCUGAGAGGAAGGCCCCCCACAAUGGGACUGAGACACGGCCCAUACUCCUACGGGAGGCAGCAGUGAGGAAUAUUGGUCAAUGGGCGGAAGCCUGAACCAGCCAUGCCGCGUGCGGGAAGGAGGCCCUAUGGGCUGUGAACCGCUUUUGCCUGGGGGCAAUAAGGGCGUCGCGCACGCCCGAUGAGAGUACCGGGCGAAUAAGCAUCGGCUAACUCCGUGCCAGCAGCCGCGGUAAUACGGGGGAUGCGAGCGUUAUCCGGAUUCAUUGGGUUUAAAGGGUGCGUAGGCUGUGCGUCAAGUCGGGGGUGAAAUUCCGGUGCUCAACACCGGGGCUGCCCUUGAUACUGUCGCGCUGGAGUGCGGAUGCCGCCGGAGGAAUGAGUGGUGUAGCGGUGAAAUGCUUAGAUAUCACUCAGAACACCGAUUGCGAAGGCAUCUGGCGAAUCCGUAACUGACGCUGAGGCACGAAAGCGUGGGGAUAGAACAGGAUUAGAUACCCUGGUAUUCCACGCCGUAAACGAUGAUGGCUAACCGCCGGCGACACACUGUCGGUGGCCAAGCGAAAGCGAUAAGCCAUCCACCUGGGGAGUACGUCGGCAACGAUGAAACUCAAAGGAAUUGACGGGGGCCCGCACAAGCGGAGGAACAUGUGGUUU
RNAcentral lists this ribosomal RNA (900 nucleotides) under uncultured bacterium. RNAcentral describes it as "bacterial SSU rRNA". It matches the Rfam family "Bacterial small subunit ribosomal RNA", at positions 51 to 947 of the family's 1533-position model. The record is from RNAcentral.